GCCUGAUUGGCUCAGUCAGUAGAGCAUGUGACCCUUAACUUCAGGGUCAUGAGUUCAAGCCCCACAUUAGGCA
Molecule: transfer RNA, 73 nt
Filed under: Ailuropoda melanoleuca (giant panda)
Lineage: Eukaryota; Metazoa; Chordata; Mammalia; Carnivora; Ursidae
Rfam family: tRNA
About the family: Transfer RNA (tRNA) molecules are approximately 80 nucleotides in length. Their secondary structure includes four short double-helical elements and three loops (D, anti-codon, and T loops).
Source: Rfam by way of RNAcentral